Molecule: ribosomal RNA, 421 nt
Filed under: uncultured bacterium
Lineage: Bacteria
Description: partial 16S ribosomal RNA
Rfam family: Bacterial small subunit ribosomal RNA
Source: RNAcentral
AAUAUUGGACAAUGGGGGCAACCCUGAUCCAGCCAUGCCGCGUGUGUGAAGACGGUCGUCGGACUGUAAAUCACUUUAAGCUGGGAGGAAGGGCUUUAGGUUAAUACGCUGAUGUUUUGACGUUACCAACAGAAUAAGUACCGGCUAACUCUGUGCCAUCAGCCGCGGUAAUACCGAGGGUGCAAGCGUUAAUUGGAAUUACUGGGCGUAACGCGCGCGUAGGUGGUUCAGUAAGAUGGGUGUGAAAUCCCCGGGCUUAACCUGGGAACUGCUUUCAUAACUUCUGAGCUAGAGUACGGUAGAGGGUAGUGGAAUUUCCUGUGUAGCGGUGAAAUGCGUAGAUAUAGGAAGGAACACCAGUGGCGAAGACGACUACCUGGACUGAUACUGACACUGAGGUGCGAAAGCGUGGGGAGCAAAC